Non-coding RNA from Fundulus heteroclitus (mummichog), 519 nucleotides. NCBI's taxonomy places the organism in Eukaryota, Metazoa, Chordata, Actinopteri, Cyprinodontiformes, Fundulidae. The record is from the annotation of a RefSeq genome assembly.
CUGUGGUCUCUGAGUUUAGUCUGCUCCCAGCAGGAUAAUGAUCUCAGCUGCUCUGAUAAACCUCUCUGCAGCUCUGCUCUGUGUUGGAGGUCUAGCCGAUGGGAGUGAUGUCACUCAGACUCCUCUGCUGUGGACCAACGAGAGUCAGUCUGCCACCAUGAACUGCAGUCACACUAAAGGUGUUGAUUAUAACCAGAUGUACUGGUACCAACAGCUGCCUGGUCAGAACAUGAAGCAAAUAGUUUUCACCACAGCAUACAGCGCUCACCAGUAUGAACAAGGCUUCAGUAAGGAGAAAUUUCCAGCCGAGAAGAAGGAUUAUUCGACUGGUUCAUUGACAGUGAAGAAUCUGCAGCCUGGAGACAGUGGAGUGUAUUUCUGUGCUGUGAGUCAACACAGUGAUUGAGCUGAUUAAAAGAGCUGCACAAAAACCCAACUGCUGGAGACCCAGAGAACUGAAGACAUCUUUGUUUUAAAUUAACUGUAGAGGGAGCUAAAGACCAAAAUAAACUUUGUAUU